GCGCUUGCUUCGGCAGCACAUAUACUAAAAUUGGAACGAUACAGAGAAGAUAAGCAUGACAUUUGUGCAAGGAUGACACGCAAAUUCGUUCCAUAUUUUU
Molecule: small nuclear RNA, 100 nt
Filed under: Delphinapterus leucas (beluga whale)
Lineage: Eukaryota; Metazoa; Chordata; Mammalia; Artiodactyla; Monodontidae
Source: RNAcentral